UAGAUACCCUGGUAGUCCACGCUGUAAACGGUGUCGAUUUGGGGAUUGGGGUUUAGCCCUGGUGCCCGAAGCUAACGUGAUAAAUCGACCGCCUGGGGAGUACGGCCGCAAGGUUAAAACUCAAAUGAAUUGACGGGGGCCCGCACAAGCGGUGGAGCAUGUGGUUUAAUUCGAUGCAACGCGAAGAACCUUACCUACUCUUGACAUCCGAAGAAGAACUCAGAGAUGGGUUUGUGCCUUAGGGAGCUUU
Molecule: ribosomal RNA, 250 nt
Filed under: uncultured bacterium
Lineage: Bacteria
Description: partial 16S ribosomal RNA
Rfam family: Bacterial small subunit ribosomal RNA
Source: RNAcentral